Molecule: ribosomal RNA, 1155 nt
Filed under: uncultured bacterium
Lineage: Bacteria
Description: bacterial SSU rRNA
Rfam family: Bacterial small subunit ribosomal RNA
Source: RNAcentral
CCAGACUCCUACGGGAGGCAGCAGUGGGGAAUUUUCCGCAAUGGGCGAAAGCCUGACGGAGCAACGCCGCGUGAGGGAUGAAGGCCUCUGGGCUGUAAACCUCUUUUAUCAAGGAAGAAGAUCUGACGGUACUUGAUGAAUAAGCCACGGCUAAUUCCGUGCCAGCAGCCGCGGUAAUACGGGAGUGGCAAGCGUUAUCCGGAAUUAUUGGGCGUAAAGCGUCCGCAGGCGGCCUUUCAAGUCUGCUGUUAAAAAGUGGAGCUUAACUCCAUCAUGGCAGUGGAAACUGAGGGGCUUGAGUGUGGUAGGGGCAGAGGGAAUUCCCGGUGUAGCGGUGAAAUGCGUAGAUAUCGGGAAGAACACCAGUGGCGAAGGCGCUCUGCUGGGCCAUCACUGACGCUCAUGGACGAAAGCCAGGGGAGCGAAAGGGAUUAGAUACCCCUGUAGUCCUGGCCGUAAACGAUGAACACUAGGUGUCGGGGGAAUCGACCCCCUCGGUGUCGUAGCCAACGCGUUAAGUGUUCCGCCUGGGGAGUACGCACGCAAGUGUGAAACUCAAAGGAAUUGACGGGGGCCCGCACAAGCGGUGGAGUAUGUGGUUUAAUUCGAUGCAACGCGAAGAACCUUACCAGGGUUUGACAUCCUGCGAAUCUCUUGGAAACGAGAGAGUGCCUUCGGGAGCGCAGUGACAGGUGGUGCAUGGCUGUCGUCAGCUCGUGUCGUGAGAUGUUGGGUUAAGUCCCGCAACGAGCGCAACCCACGUCUUUAGUUGCCAGCAUUUAGUUGGGCACUCUAGAGAGACCGCCGGUGAUAAACCGGAGGAAGGUGUGGAUGACGUCAAGUCAUCAUGCCCCUUACAUCCUGGGCUACACACGUACUACAAUGCUACGGACAAAGGGCAGCAAGUUCGCGAGGACAAGCAAAUCCCAUAAACCGUGGCUCAGUUCAGAUCGUAGGCUGCAACUCGCCUACGUGAAGGAGGAAUCGCUAGUAAUCGCAGGUCAGCAUACUGCGGUGAAUACGUUCCCGGGCCUUGUACACACCGCCCGUCACACCAUGGAAGUUGGCCACGCCCGAAGCCGUUACUCCAACCCUUGUGGAGGAGGACGUCGAAGGUGGGGCUGAUGACUGGGGUGAAGUCGUAACAAGGUAACC